This 2258-nucleotide ribosomal RNA is filed under the name Grylloblatta chirurgica. RNAcentral describes it as "partial 28S ribosomal RNA". It matches the Rfam family "Eukaryotic large subunit ribosomal RNA", at positions 137 to 1811 of the family's 3401-position model. Lineage: Eukaryota; Metazoa; Arthropoda; Insecta; Grylloblattodea; Grylloblattidae. The record is from RNAcentral.
CGGGAAAUGUAGUGUUAGGGAGGAUCCAACUAUCCCGAAAUGUCGAGGCGAGUCCAAGUCCAUCUUGAAUGGGGCCACUGCCCGUAGAGGGUGCCAGGCCCGUAGUGACCGCUUGCGCGUUUCGGGAGGAUCUCUCCUUAKAGUCGGGUUGCUUGAGAGUGCANCUCUAAGUGGGUGGUAAACUCCAUCUAAGGCUAAAUAUGACCACGAGACCGAUAGCGAACAAGUACCGUGAGGGAAAGUUGAAAAGAACUUUGAAGAGAGAGUUCAAUAGUACGUGAAACCGUUCGGGGGUAAACGGGAGAAGUCCUAAAGGUCGAACGGGAAGAUUCACGCGCUUUGGUAUCUGGCCACCUUUGUUACCAGACGGUGUUGGUCGCCCAGGACGACUUCGGUCGUGCCCGGUGUCGUUGUCUAACUGCCGCUCGGUAUGCAUCGGUGCCGUUCCAGUGUUAUUAAAGUGUGCACUUCUUCCCUAGUAGGAACGUCGCGACCCGUUGGGUGUCGGUCUAAGGCCCGAGGAGGAAGUCUGUGCCUAUGGUAAGCGGGGUGAGGCGCCGCAAAUUUACCUGGGUCAGACCCUCGGUGUCCCGGUCGACUGCUCGACGGUAUGUAGCGAAGGAGUUGAUCCGCUCUCCUUUGUGUGAGCGCCCGGCUAACAUCAUUCGGACGAGAUCAGUACCAUGUCGUGACUCAACCCACGGCGUGGAACCCUCGUGCCGUUUNNUCUUGUGAUGCCUCUCGGGCAGCAGAUUAUUCUCCCGUCUGCGACGCUAAAGCUUUGGAUAUUUUCCCGACCCSUCUUGAAACACGGACCAAGGAGUYUAACAUGUGCGSGAGUCAUUGGGAAUUUUAAUAAACCUAAAGGCGCAAUGAAAGUGAAGGUGAGAGCUUAAAAAAAUUUAUUUUUUUUUGGCACUUGCUCAGGGAAGAAGGUAACUGGUCCUUCACCAUAACCGGNGAAGUUCAACCGGACCCGCAUUCCCGGGGCGUCUCGUUCUCAAUGCGAGAUGAGGCGCACCUAGAGCGUACACGUUGGGACCCGAAAGAUGGUGAACUAUGCCUGGUCAGGACGAAGUCAGGGGAAACCCUGAUGGAGGUCCGUAGCGAUUCUGACGUGCAAAUCGAUCGUCGGAACUGGGUAUAGGGGCGAAAGACUAAUCGAACCAUCUAGUAGCUGGUUCCCUCCGAAGUUUCCCUCAGGAUAGCUGGCNNNNNNNNNNNNNNNNNNNNNNNNNNNNNNNNNNNNNNNNNNNNNNNNNNNNNNNNNNNNNNNNNNNNNNNNNNNNNNNNNNNNNNNNNNNNNNNNNNNAAAUGUGUGAGAUCUCAGGCUUGCUUGAAUGAAAAAGAAAUUUUUUUUUCAUGAAGCCGGAGAUGGAUAAGAGAUGCCAAGUGGGCCAUUUUUGGUAAGCAGAACUGGCGCUGUGGGAUGAACCAAACGCAGAGUUAAGGCGCCCAAAUUUACGUUUAUGGGAAACCAUGAAAGGCGUUGGUUGCUUAGGACAGCAGGACGGUGGCCAUGGAAGUCGGAAUCCGCUAAGGAGUGUGUAACAACUCACCUGCCGAAGCAACUAGCCCUGAAAAUGGAUGGCGCUGAAACGUAAAGCCUAUACUCUGCCGUCAGCGGCAGAGUGAUCCGAGGAGGCCCGCUACCGUAAGGUGUGUGGGCAGCCUUGGUUGCGAAGCCCUGACGAGUAGGAGGGUCGCGGCGGUGUGCGCAGAAGGGUCUGGGCGUGAGCCUGCCUGGAGCCGCCGUCGGUGCAGAUCUUGGUGGUAGUAGCAAAUACUCCAGCGAGGCCCUGGAGGACUGAUGUGGAGAAGGGUUUCGUGUGAACAGCCGUUGCACACGAGUCAGUCGAUCCUAAGCCCUAGGAGAAAUCCGAAACGAUGGUUGUUGCUUUAUUAAUUUAAAUUCAACACCGUCGGGCGAAAGGGAAUCCGGUUCCUAUUCCGGAACCCGGCUGCGGAACCGGUGUACGUCGGGUGUAUCAAGCCCCCAUGCCCGUUCGGAGUCUUAGCCAGGGUGUUCACUUCGGUGGCAUGCUGGCGGUCGCGGAUGUUGUGCAUCGGGGAUCUUUAAUACACUCGUCGGGGUAACCCAACAUGACCCGAAGACGCCGUCGGGAGAUCCGGGCAGAGUUUUCUGUUCUGCAUGAGCGUUCGAGUUCCCUGGAAUCAUCUAGCAUGGAGAUAGGGUUUGGAACGCGAAGAGCACCGCAGUUGCGGCNNUGUCUGGAUCUUCCCCUCGGACCUUGAAA